AUUGAACGCUGGCGGAAUGCUUUACACAUGCAAGUCGAGCGGCAGCGCGGCCUUCGGGCUGGCGGCGAGCGGCGAACGGGUGAGUAAUGCAUCGGAACAUGCCCAGUCGUGGGGGAUAACACUUCGAAAGAAGUGCUAAUACCGCAUACGUCCUGAGGGGGAAAGCGGGGGAUCGCAAGACCUCGCGCGAUUGGAGUGGCCGAUGUCAGAUUAGCUAGUUGGUGGGGUAAAGGCCUACCAAGGCGACGAUCUGUAGCUGGUGUGAGAGGAUGAUCAGCCACACUGGGACUGAGACACGGCCCAGACUCCUACGGGAGGCAGCAGUGGGGAAUUUUGGACAAUGGGGGCAACCCUGAUCCAGCCAUUCCGCGUGAGUGAAGAAGGCCUUCGGGUUGUAAAGCUCUUUCGGCAGGAACGAAACGGUGGGCUCUAACAUAGUCCGCUAAUGACGGUACCUGAAGAAGAAGCACCGGCUAACUACGUG
RNAcentral lists this ribosomal RNA (484 nucleotides) under uncultured bacterium. RNAcentral describes it as "partial 16S ribosomal RNA". It matches the Rfam family "Bacterial small subunit ribosomal RNA", at positions 29 to 507 of the family's 1533-position model. The record is from RNAcentral.